GGGUGCGUAGCUCAACGGCGGAGCGCGGGCCUCAUAAGCCCGAGGAUGUUGGUUCGAGUCCAACCGUCACCC
This 72-nucleotide transfer RNA is filed under the name compost metagenome. RNAcentral describes it as "tRNA-Met". It matches the Rfam family "tRNA". From Rfam's summary of the family: Transfer RNA (tRNA) molecules are approximately 80 nucleotides in length. The record is from RNAcentral.